This 833-nucleotide unclassified non-coding RNA is filed under the name Hevea brasiliensis (rubber tree). The record is from RNAcentral. Lineage: Eukaryota; Viridiplantae; Streptophyta; Magnoliopsida; Malpighiales; Euphorbiaceae.
GAAAAUACAUAUAUAUGUAUUUUCUUUUAACUAACCUCAUUUUUUUUUUUUCAGAUAUUUUGUCUUUGGCUUUAACUUUAAUGAAGAAUUCUAAAUCUAUCUAAAAAUCGAGACAGGGUUGAUUCAUAUAUCCUAUUCACUUUACUUUGGGAAAAAAUUUGAAAAAGACUCAAGUCGAGUCAAAUAAACUACUAAAAAAAUGAAGAAAUGCUUAUAUGUAUGUAUUCUUAGCAUUUUUUGAUUAACACCUUUGUUUUGUUUCUAUUUUUGGAAUGUAAAAAAAAUUCAUCAUCCCUUACGUAAUUUCAAUAUUUAACUUAGAAUAUCCAUAAUUAAUUCCAGCGACAAUUCUUUAGUCUAUCUAAUAAAUAAGAUGUAAAUAAGAUGACCCUCUAGUAUUUCGAUACUGAUUUUAUCACUCAGUAUCAAAGAAUAACAACUUCAAAUUUUCCUUACAUCAGUCUUUUUUAUCCACUACUGUACUAAAAAAAAUUGGAUUUUUUUUUUAACCUAUUUAUUUGUUUUAAAUCGUUGAUGGUUUAAUCCGAAUUUGAAUAUGGGGGUUCUUUCUCUCUUAUGAUGAUAAAAUAUGUUUCUUAUUGUAAAACAAAAUUUUAUUCAAAUAAUGAUAUCGAGAUAGGCAAUUUUAAAAUUAAAUCUUUUUAAGGAUUUUUUAUGAGUUCUUGGGACUCGAAGAAAUGUGAGAUAGACGAAUCUGUUCUAUGGAGUCACUUGAAGAUUCAAAAAGAUCUUAUUUCUUUGUCUUAUUUCUAAUAUUAGAAUUGUAAAUAAAAAAAUAUUCAUACAAUAAAAUAUGGGGUUAAGUUAAAUUG